GGCGAACGGGUGAGUAACACGUGGGUGAUCUGCCCUGCACUUCGGGAUAAGCCUGGGAAACUGGGUCUAAUACCGGAUAGGAGCCAUUUUUAGUGUGAUGGUUGGAAAGUUUUUCGGUGUAGGAUGAGCUCGCGGCCUAUCAGCUUGUUGGUGGGGUAAUGGCCUACCAAGGCGGCGACGGGUAGCCGGCCUGAGAGGGUGGACGGCCACAUUGGGACUGAGACACGGCCCAG
RNAcentral lists this ribosomal RNA (233 nucleotides) under uncultured Actinomycetales bacterium. RNAcentral describes it as "partial 16S ribosomal RNA". It matches the Rfam family "Bacterial small subunit ribosomal RNA", at positions 97 to 334 of the family's 1533-position model. Lineage: Bacteria; Bacillati; Actinomycetota; Actinomycetes; Actinomycetales. The record is from RNAcentral.